GGCACAAAGCGGGGCAGAUGGUGUAUCACUCGGCAUUCCACCUUUACUUACUACACAGAGAAAAUCAGAUGAUGAAUCACUCGGCAUUCCAGCUUUACCUACUACACAGAGAAAAUCAGAUGAUGAAUCACUCGGCAUUCCAGCUUUACCUACUACACAGAGAAAAUCAGAUGGUGGAUCACUUGGCAUUCCAGCUUUACCUAUUACACAGAGAAAACAAGAGGUUCAAGCCAGGCAAACAACCAGUGGAUCAUCAAGCUCGGAUGAUGAUGACCUUGAAGGAGACACAGGAACCAAUGAAAAUAUGGAUCCUGCUGUUGUGAAACGUGCGAGGAGGUAUCUUAUUUAUUAACAUUCAUGCUUGGUGUAAGGGGUUCUAAAUACAAUUUAGAAACUUUGUUUUCUUUACUCAUACGCCUCCCAUUUUUCCUCUUAUUUUGAAUUUAUACAGGUAAUAUUAUUUUGAGGAAUUCACAUGUUAGUGCUCGUCUUAUUGGUGAAUAAAUCAAGCAUUGUUUUAGGAUGGGAGAAGAGUAUUUGUCAAUGGUUUCUAAUUAAAUCGGAUACAGCCUUACUAAACCUGACUUAACUGUCUCCAAGUUUUGGGAUAAACAGAUUCUUACUAGAUGCAAGUAUAUAUCUUAUUAUUGUGUUAAAAAGGAAGGACC
Molecule: long non-coding RNA, 668 nt
Filed under: Populus trichocarpa (black cottonwood)
Lineage: Eukaryota; Viridiplantae; Streptophyta; Magnoliopsida; Malpighiales; Salicaceae
Description: long non-coding RNA (PTRI_LNC000549)
Source: RNAcentral